GGGGGCGCAUUUGGUUUCGACGUGGGUCACGAACCCUGGGGUGCAUGUCGAGGGGGUAGCUUUCCUCGUUAAUCCAGCUGCAAAGACUAUAGUCGCCAACGACGAAGUCUACGCUCUGGCGGCCUAAGGCCGCCUAACCGCAACACCUUGUGUCCAUGCUCGGUGCAGGCGGGUCAGAAUCAUGGAAUCGCGAGCCAACGGGCCUGACGUUGGCAGUUAAAACGACCAGGCUGGUCGUCUGACAUCCCUGCCGGUCGGGGCGUCAGCCGACGAGAUCGAAAGACUCGGCUAAACAUGUAGAUCCUCAGAUGUAGGUCUCGCGGACGGGGGUUCGACUCCCCCCGCCUCCACCA
This 353-nucleotide transfer-messenger RNA is filed under the name Lysobacterales bacterium. It matches the Rfam family "transfer-messenger RNA". Rfam says of the family: Bacterial tmRNA, also known as 10Sa RNA or SsrA, is named for its dual tRNA and mRNA-like properties. Its role is to liberate the mRNA from a stalled ribosome. Lineage: Bacteria; Pseudomonadati; Pseudomonadota; Gammaproteobacteria; Lysobacterales. The record is from RNAcentral.